RNAcentral lists this transfer RNA (62 nucleotides) under Podarcis lilfordi (Lilford's wall lizard). RNAcentral's name for it is "tRNA.Gly". Lineage: Eukaryota; Metazoa; Chordata; Lepidosauria; Squamata; Lacertidae. The record is from RNAcentral.
GUAGCUCAGUGCUAGGGUAUCUGCUUUCCAUACAGAAGGUCCCAGGUUAAAUCCCAGGUGCA